RNAcentral lists this ribosomal RNA (253 nucleotides) under uncultured bacterium. RNAcentral's name for it is "partial 16S ribosomal RNA". It matches the Rfam family "Bacterial small subunit ribosomal RNA", at positions 524 to 776 of the family's 1533-position model. The record is from RNAcentral.
GACAGAGGGUGCAAACGUUGCUCGGAAUCACUGGGCAUAAAGCGCACGUAGGCGGUCGCGCAAGUGCGGUGUGAAAUCCCCCGGCCUAACCGGGGAACUGCUCCGCAUACUGCACGGCUAGAGCUUGGGAGGGGAGAGUGGAACUCCUGGUGGAGCGGUGGAAUGCGUAGAGAUCAGGAGGAACGCCGGAGGUGAAGACGACUCUCUGGCCCAAUGCUGACGAUAAGGUGCGAAAGAUAGGGGAGCAAACGGG